Molecule: ribosomal RNA, 256 nt
Filed under: uncultured soil bacterium
Lineage: Bacteria
Description: partial 16S ribosomal RNA
Rfam family: Bacterial small subunit ribosomal RNA
Source: RNAcentral
AGGACGAACGCUGGCGGCGUGCUUAACACAUGCAAGUCGAGCGAUGAACUCUCUUCGGAGGGGGAUUAGCGGCGAACGGGUGAGUAACACGUGGGCAACCUGCCCUCAGCUCUGGGAUAACUCCUCGAAAGAGGGCUAAUACCGGAUACGACUUCCCCUGGCAUCUGGGGAAGUGGAAAGUUUUUUCGGCUGAGGAUGGGCCCGCGGCCUAUCAGCUUGUUGGUGGGGUAAUGGCCCACCAAGGCGACGACGGGUA